GUGGGGAAUCUUGCGCAAUGGGCGAAAGCCUGACGCAGCCAUGCCGCGUGAAUGAUGAAGGUCUUAGGAUUGUAAAAUUCUUUCACCGGGGACGAUAAUGACGGUACCCGGAGAAGAAGCUCCGGCUAACUUCGUGCCAGCAGCCGCGGUAAUACGAAGGGGGCUAGCGUUGCUCGGACUUACUGGGCGUAAAGGGCGCGUAGGCGGACAGCUUAGUCAGAGGUGAAAGCCCAGGGCUCAACCUUGGAAUUGCCUUUGAUACUGGCUGUCUUGAGUGUGGGAGGGGUGAGGGGAACUCCGAGUGUAGAGGUGAAAUUCGUAGAUAUUCGGAAGAACACCAGUGGCGAAGGCGACUCACUGGCCCAAAACUGACGCUGAGGCGCGAAAGCGUGGGGAGCAAACAGGAUUAGAGACCCCAGUACUCC
This 425-nucleotide ribosomal RNA is filed under the name uncultured bacterium. RNAcentral describes it as "partial 16S ribosomal RNA". It matches the Rfam family "Bacterial small subunit ribosomal RNA", at positions 354 to 796 of the family's 1533-position model. The record is from RNAcentral.